GAUGAACGCUGGCGGCGUGCCUAAUACAUGCAAGUCGAGCGAACAGACGAGGAGCUUGCUCCUCUGACGUUAGCGGCGGACGGGUGAGUACCACGUGGAUAACCUACCUAUAAGACUGGGAUAAGUUCGGGAACCCGGAGCUCAUACCGGAUAAUAUGUUGAACGGCAUGGUUCAAUAGUGCAAGAGGGAUUUGCUGUCACUUAUAGAUGUAUCCGCGCCGCAUUGGCUAGUUGGUAAGGUAACGGCUUACCAAGGCAACGAUGCGUAGCCGACCUGAGAGGGUGAUCGGCCACACUGGAACUGAGACACGGUCCAGACUCCUACGGGAGGCAGCAGUAGGGAAUCUUCCGCAAUGGGCGAAAGCCUGACGGAGCAACGCCGCGUGAGUGAUGAAGGUCUUCGGAUCGUAAAACUCUGUUAUUAGGGAAGAAGAAAUGUAUAAGUAACUAUGCACGUCUUGGCGUUACCUAAACAGAAAGCCACGGCUAACUACGUG
This 497-nucleotide ribosomal RNA is filed under the name uncultured bacterium. RNAcentral's name for it is "partial 16S ribosomal RNA". It matches the Rfam family "Bacterial small subunit ribosomal RNA", at positions 28 to 507 of the family's 1533-position model. The record is from RNAcentral.